Molecule: ribosomal RNA, 445 nt
Filed under: uncultured bacterium
Lineage: Bacteria
Description: partial 16S ribosomal RNA
Rfam family: Bacterial small subunit ribosomal RNA
Source: RNAcentral
CCUACGGGAGGCAGCAGUAGGGAAUUUUCGGCAAUGGGGGCACCCUGACCGAGCAACGCCGCGUGAACGAAGAAGGUAUUCGUAAUGUAAAGUUCUUUUAACAGGGGAGAAAGAGAAAUCUGACGGUACCUGAAGAAUAAGCUCUGGCUAAGUACGAGCAAGCAAGCGCGGUAAUACGUGGGGAGCGAGCGUUAUCCGAAAUUAUUGGGAGAAAAGGGUGGGUAGAUGGCAUAGUAAGUCUUUUGUAAAAAUGCUGGGCUCAACCCAGUAGGGCAAAAGAUACUGCAAUGCUAGAGUAGCACAAAGGCAAGUGGAACUACAAGUGUAGCGGUGAAAUGCGUAAAUAUAUGUAAGAACACCAGUGGCGAAGGCGGCUUGCUGGAUCAAUACUGACGGUGAGGCGCGAAAGCGUGGGGAGCAAACAGGAUUAGAUACCCGAGUAGUC